UACGUAGGGUCCGAGCGUUGUCCGGAAUUAUUGGGCGUAAAGGGCUCGUAGGCGGUUCGUCACGUCGGGAGUGAAAACUCGGAGCUCAACUCCGAGCCUGCUUCCGAUACGGGCAGACUAGAGGUAGGCAGGGGAGAGCGGAACUCCUGGUGUAGCGGUGGAAUGCGCAGAUAUCAGGAAGAACACCGGUGGCGAAGGCGGCUCUCUGGGCCUUACCUGACGCUGAGGAGCGAAAGCGUGGGGAGCGAACAGG
RNAcentral lists this ribosomal RNA (253 nucleotides) under uncultured bacterium. Its description in RNAcentral is "partial 16S ribosomal RNA". It matches the Rfam family "Bacterial small subunit ribosomal RNA", at positions 524 to 776 of the family's 1533-position model. The record is from RNAcentral.